CCUACGGGAGGCAGCAGUGAGGAAUAUUGGUCAAUGGGCGCGAGCCUGAACCAGCCAAGUAGCGUGAAGGAUGACUGCCCUACGGGUUGUAAACUUCUUUUAUAAAGGAAUAAAGUGAGGCACGUGUGCCUUUUUGUAUGUACUUUAUGAAUAAGGAUCGGCUAACUCCGUGCCAGCAGCCGCGGUAAUACGGAGGAUCCGAGCGUUAUCCGGAUUUAGUGGGUUUAAAGGGAGCGUAGAUGGGUUGUUAAGUCAGUUGUGAAAGUUUGCGGCUCAACCGUAAAAGUGCAAUUGAUACUGGCAGUCUUGAGUACAGUUGAGGUAGGCGGAAUUCGUGGUGUAGCGGUGAAAUGCUUAGAUAUCACGAAGAACUCCGAUUGCGAAGGCAGCUUACUAAACUACAACUGACACUGAGGCUCGAAAGCGUGGGUAUCAAACAGGAUUAGAUACCCCAGUAGUC
This 460-nucleotide ribosomal RNA is filed under the name uncultured bacterium. Its description in RNAcentral is "partial 16S ribosomal RNA". It matches the Rfam family "Bacterial small subunit ribosomal RNA", at positions 338 to 795 of the family's 1533-position model. The record is from RNAcentral.